This 253-nucleotide ribosomal RNA is filed under the name uncultured bacterium. RNAcentral's name for it is "partial 16S ribosomal RNA". It matches the Rfam family "Bacterial small subunit ribosomal RNA", at positions 524 to 776 of the family's 1533-position model. The record is from RNAcentral.
UACGUAGGGGGCAAGCGUUGUCCGGAAUUAUUGGGCGUAAAGAGCUCGUAGGCGGCCUGUUGCGUCCGCUGUGAAAUCCCGGGGCUCAACCCCGGGCCUGCAGUGGAUACGGGCUGGCUAGAGGCAGGCAGGGGAGAACGGAAUUCCUGGUGUAGCGGUGAAAUGCGCAGAUAUCAGGAGGAACACCGGUGGCGAAGGCGGUUCUCUGGGCUUGUACUGACGCUGAGGAGCGAAAGCGUGGGGAGCGAACAGG